RNAcentral lists this ribosomal RNA (536 nucleotides) under Cephalotrigona sp. MP89. RNAcentral describes it as "partial 16S ribosomal RNA". The stretch from base 384 to 536 matches the Rfam family "Bacterial large subunit ribosomal RNA", at positions 2473 to 2626 of the family's 2925-position model. The record is from RNAcentral. Lineage: Eukaryota; Metazoa; Arthropoda; Insecta; Hymenoptera; Apidae.
CAAAACAUGUCUUAUUGAAAAUAAUUUUAAGUCAAUCUGCCCAAUGAACUAUUUUAAUGGCUGCAGUAUACCUGACUGUACAAAGGUAGCAUAAUCAAUUGAUUUUUAAAUGAAAUCUGGAAUGAAAGGAUUAAUGAAAUAUAUACUGUCUCAUAUUUAUUAUAUUAAUUUAAAAUUUUAAUAAAAAUGUUAAAAUUUUUUUAUGGGACGAUAAGACCCUAUAGAAUUUUAUAUUAAUUUAUUUUUAUUGAUGAGAUAAAUUUUAUUUUAAUAUUUAAUUGGGAGAAUUGUUAAAUUUAAAUAAUUUUAAUUUUAAUAUAAACUUUAAUUUAAGAAUAAAUAAUGAUCUUAAAUUUUAAAUUAUUAGAUUAAAUUACCUUAGGGAUAACAGCGUAAUAUUUUUUUAUAGGUCAUAUAGAAAAAAGUGAUUGCGACCUCGAUGUUGAAUUAAGAUAAAUUUUAAAUGCAGGAGUUUAAUAAUUAAGUCUGUUCGACUUUUAAAAUCUUACAUGAUUUGAGUUCAAAUCGACGUAAGU